GACGAACGCCGGCGGCGUGCUUAACACAUGCAAGUCGAACGGAAAGGCCCUGCUUUUGUGGGGUGCUCGAGUGGCGAACGGGUGAGUAACACGUGAGUAACCUGCCCUUGACUUUGGGAUAACUUCAGGAAACUGGGGCUAAUACCGGAUAGGAGCUCCUGCUGCAUGGUGGGGGUUGGAAAGUUUCGGCGGUUGGGGAUGGACUCGCGGCUUAUCAGCUUGUUGGUGGGGUAGUGGCUUACCAAGGCUUUGACGGGUAGCCGGCCUGAGAGGGUGACCGGCCACAUUGGGACUGAGAUACGGCCCAGACUCCUACGGGAGGCAGCAGUGGGGAAUAUUGCACAAUGGGCGGAAGCCUGAUGCAGCAACGCCGCGUGCGGGAUGACGGCCUUCGGGUUGUAAACCGCUUUCGCCUGUGACGAAGCGUGAGUGACGGUAAUGGGUAAAGAAGUACCGGCUAACUACGUG
RNAcentral lists this ribosomal RNA (468 nucleotides) under uncultured bacterium. RNAcentral describes it as "partial 16S ribosomal RNA". It matches the Rfam family "Bacterial small subunit ribosomal RNA", at positions 28 to 507 of the family's 1533-position model. The record is from RNAcentral.